This 331-nucleotide ribosomal RNA is filed under the name uncultured Glomeromycotina. Its description in RNAcentral is "partial large subunit ribosomal RNA". Lineage: Eukaryota; Fungi; Glomeromycota. The record is from RNAcentral.
CNGCCUUUCGGGUGCGAUUCUGUGGAGUGUGAGGAGCUUAACACCUUCAUGCUUUGCAUAUUUGUGCUCUUGGGUGUACUUGCCCGUGUGGUUGGUUAACAUCAAUUUUGAUUAUCAUAAAAUGACUGGAGGAAUGUAGCUUCGAUCUCGUAUUGAAGUGUUAUAGCCUUCGGUAGAUGUGAUGAUCGAGAUUGAGGAUUGCAACGGAUACCCUUCGGGGCUACCUGUCUGGUCUCUGAUCGUUGCUCUGGUGCCGAAAGCGUGCUUACGGUUAUCAAAGUCGAUGGUCAAUAGGUUAGAACGGGUUAAAUUCGUUANNNNNNUUGACGUA